AUAAAGAUUAUGGCGCAGGGCCGAUUAUUGAAAAGCUCAAUAUUCAUUGCUUUUGAUCAGGGGGUGCCGUGUGAAUUCAUGGUGCAAAUAGGAAAAUAUUAGGUCAAGGGAGGCAAAGCCCACUCCAUACAAAUGGAAAAGAGGGAAGGAAAGACACACUCAAAUUAAUUCCAAACUUUAACAAAAAAAUGUGCGCUUAAGACAAAGCCAAGUCUCACACAUUCUGACCUGAGCCAUCACUGUCUCUGUAGUGCCGAAGGUCACCUCCGGCGGAGGGCCAACCACUGAAAAUCAUGUACCAUCAUUUUCGUUUCAAUGUGCUUUAUUCGAAUCCACAAGUAAUUUCCCUGAAUUCUAAUCUUAAGGCCUAAAUUGAGUUGAAACAUCUCAAGAACCCUAGGUAAAUAAACUUAAAUUAAAUUGUAACCAUGCUCUGAGUCAAUCAGCAACCAAGGGGUUAAUGAUCUACUACCCUCAACCAACCAACCGGUAAAAAUAAUUUGAAGAAACUGAGUGAAAUCGUAUGAGCUCAUCGGAGCAAUUCGAAGUUGAAAAUGCGUAACCAGCAAGAAUAUUUUGCAAGGAUGAAACAUGUGUGCUUGGCAUUGACCAUGAUUGAAGCUUGGCAUGGAGGUUCAUGAUGGGAAUUUGAAGAAAUCCAAAGUUGUUUGCACAUGAAGAAAGUGCUUGGUCAUGGAAUCAAAUGGAAUGAAUGCAAGAAAAUUAAGAAUCAAUAGGUCAUUAGGGUUAGGAAUGUAGAAUUUAGGUCAGUGGACUUUGGUCAACUUGUUGACAAAAAAGUCAACAGUUGACCAGAAGUCAACUAUAGGUCAAACUUCAAUUUUUUGUAAUUAUGUAUGGAACUUUGUAAAUUGACUUGUAAGAUUGAAUGGACAACUUUGAAUAGAAAUCACCCUUUUAUGAUUUAA
This is a long non-coding RNA of Lathyrus oleraceus (garden pea), 929 nucleotides long. RefSeq lists it as uncharacterized. NCBI's taxonomy places the organism in Eukaryota, Viridiplantae, Streptophyta, Magnoliopsida, Fabales, Fabaceae. The record is from RefSeq and is a predicted model, not a curated record. The transcript is spliced from 2 exons.